This is a long non-coding RNA of Capra hircus (goat), 751 nucleotides long. RefSeq lists it as uncharacterized. Lineage: Eukaryota; Metazoa; Chordata; Mammalia; Artiodactyla; Bovidae. The record is from RefSeq and is a predicted model, not a curated record. The transcript is spliced from 3 exons.
UGGCUCUAAAAGUUUAAACCAAUAAAUAAUGUUUACAUUUGUAACCAUGUAAAUAUAUCUUUUGCAAAGCCGGCAAAGUCCUAUAAUUAGAUUUCUUUCUUGUAUUUGUUUUCGUUUCUUAUAGUUUCAGAUUACCUUUCUGCACCUCUCUCUUAACCCUUCUCUUCUCUUUCCUUGCCAUGACUAUUUCCUCGUGUUUGUUUCUGAGUUUUCUGCUUAUGGAGUAUUCUCUUUCUGAGGUUCCUUUUUCCCGGGCACCUCACGCAGGGCCCCCUCCAUUACAUGCUCUAAUUUGGGCGUGUUGCUUUUCUGUUAGGCAGCUGUUGGCUGGGCGCGUCCAUUCGCUGCUGCCCUGAGCUGGUCCCACUGUUCUCUUCCCCUUCCUGCCUUCUUUAUUCUGUCCCUCCCUCCCUCUGUUCUUGUGCAGGCUAUUAUUCUGCUGCACCGCAUCUCAGAAUGUUGAUGGCAUCAUUCCAGCUUUUGCUAAUGAGAGCCCUGAGGAAGGACAUUGUAAAGCAAUUCGUAUCACCUCUACGGAAGGCUAUUUGACAACAUCCAUCAAAAUUAUAACCGCACCUGUGCCUCGACCUGCGCUUGCGCUGCUGGGAAGUUUUCCCGCAUGUGGAGCCAUUACCGUGCAGGAGGACAGAUGCGCAGAGUGAUUUGCGGCCGCGCAAUAACUGCUUAUAAAUGUAAAACGACUGGAGCCAGCCCAAAUGACUAUUAGUAGAGAUUUGCUAAAUAAACUAGA